AACCCAAGUCUCUUUUGUCUUCUGCACUAGCAGGUGGGUUCUUUACCACUAGUGCCACCUGGGAAGCCCAGGAACAUCAGUCUUAGGAGGAAGCAUUUUCUACAUGGUUCUGAAAUGGAUUCAUUCACCAGUUAAUCAAGCUGGCCUCAGUAGGAGAUACAGAAGGUGAAGAAUGAAUAAGAAUACAGUAGUUCCCUCUCAUCCACACCGGUUGUCAGACUGCAGACAGGACCAAACCCUACAUACACUCUAUUUUUUCCUAUACAGAGAAACAGUAACAGUAAUAAUUAUGGAACAAUCAUCACACGCUGUAAUAAAAGGGUUACUUGGACACAA
Molecule: long non-coding RNA, 336 nt
Organism: Bubalus bubalis (water buffalo)
Lineage: Eukaryota; Metazoa; Chordata; Mammalia; Artiodactyla; Bovidae
Exons: 2
Source: RefSeq, a predicted model, not a curated record